Molecule: non-coding RNA, 487 nt
Organism: Schizosaccharomyces pombe (fission yeast)
Lineage: Eukaryota; Fungi; Ascomycota; Schizosaccharomycetes; Schizosaccharomycetales; Schizosaccharomycetaceae
Source: the annotation of a GenBank genome assembly
AAGGUGUAGUCAUUGCACGAAUCAAUUUCAAAGUCUAUCAGCAUAACGAAGCAGAUUUAAGAGUAAAUGAUCGGCUUUAUAAAAACCAAUUGAGUAAUUCUUGUCUGUUUUAAAGAAGAAAGCUUCUGAACUGCCCCUUUUUUUUUAAGCAUUCAUUGCACACCCUUUCCAAUGAAGCAUUGAUCAUACCAAAAUUGUAAAUUAAGGAAAAAGAAAAAUAAGAGUAUCAAAAAUAAAGAAGUAGGGUAUAUAAAAGACGGCUCCUACUACAGAAAAAAAGACCACGCGCACAAGUAAAAUAUUGCUUUAUAAAAACCAAGCCACAGUAGCUCAGAGUUCUUGACAGCGCCUUGCGAUUGAAAAAUUCUUGGAAAUUCUAAAUUAAUUUUUGUUUUCCAAUAGCUUUUUUUGUUGUUGCUCAUCAAUACCCAAGAGGUAAAGAGCGUUUUGCAAAGAUGGAAGAUUGAUUUUCGAAUCAGCCUAAUUA